Molecule: non-coding RNA, 264 nt
Filed under: unclassified sequences
Description: Clostridiales-3 RNA
Rfam family: Clostridiales-3 RNA
Source: Rfam by way of RNAcentral
UAGUAGUUCGAUGGAUUGAAAGAUGAAGAACGAGAGGCAGGGCACAAGCCUAGGUAAAAGGGAAGUCGAAUAUGGUGGAAGGAUAAUAACCCAUGGAGGUCGAGAGGUUCGACCUUAUCCUCGAAACGGCAAGAGAGGAGAUAGUGUUACCGCAAGGUAAGGCGUCAUGAAUGCGUAGGCAGCUCGUUUGUAACUCCCGGGAAUGAGUACAUUCCUUGUGUACGGGGCGAAGAGGGACUUGAAACAGUUGACGUACACCAUACA